RNAcentral lists this ribosomal RNA (585 nucleotides) under uncultured bacterium. RNAcentral's name for it is "partial 16S ribosomal RNA". It matches the Rfam family "Bacterial small subunit ribosomal RNA", at positions 355 to 1375 of the family's 1533-position model. The record is from RNAcentral.
UGGGGAAUUUUGGACAAUGGGCGAAAGCCUGAUCCAGCAAUGCCGCGUGUGUGAAGAAGGCCUUCGGGUUGUAAAGCACUUUUGUCCGGAAAGAAAUCCUUGGCUCUAAUACAGUCGGGGGAUGACGGUACCGGAAGAAUAAGCACCGGCUAACUACGUGCCAGCAGCCGCGGUAAUACGUAGGGUGCAAGCGUUAAUCGGAAUUACUAGGCGUAAAGCAUGCGCAGGCGGUUUGCUAAGACCGAUGUGAAAUCCCCGGGCUCAACCUGGGAACUGCAUUGGUGACUGGCAGGCUAGAGUAUGGCAGAGGGGGGUAGAAUUCCACGUGUAGCAGUGAAAUGCGUAGAGAUGUGGAGGAAUACCGAUGGCGAAGGCAGCCCCCUGGGCCAAUACUGACGCUCAUGCACGAAAGCGUGGGGAGCAAACAGGAUUAGAUACCCUGGUAGUCCACGCCCUAAACGAUGUCAACUAGUUGUUGGGGAUUCAUUUCCUUAGUAACGUAGCUAACGCGUGAAGUUGACCGCCUGGGGAGUACGGUCGCAAGAUUAAAACUUAAAUGAAUUGACGGGGUCAUAGCUGUUUCCU